GUCCAUGAAUGCGUUAUUGUUUUCUACUCCUCCUUUUGCUUAAUCGAAAGUCGGGGACACAGUGUUGCGCGGAGAAUAUUAAAUAGGAGAGAGAAAGAAGAGAGAGAGACUGGAAAGUUCACGAUGCUACGUUAAUGGCGGUUAGGGUUUCCUGUUGAUCCCCCAAAGCUUGAUUCCCUCGCUGUAAUUGUUUUCUCCUCUCUCGUUCUACUUGCACUCAAAACCCUAAUUUGAAGUUCACCCCCCAAAUUCAGUAUCUCUGCUUUGGUUUUUUGUUUUGAAAUUUUGGGUUGUUGUGAUGGGCGCGCCGGAGAAAUCGCAGACUAUCGCAAAUUCGAUGCAGCGUGUCAAGCUUUACCGUCUGAAUGAUAAUGGGAAAUGGGAUGACCAGGGCACUGGGCACGUCACUGUUGAUUAUUUGGAGAGGUCAGAAGAGCUGGGUUUAUUUGUUUAUGACGAGGAAGACAAUGAGACCAUACUUUUGCAUCGCAUUUCUCCUGAUGAUAUUUAUAGGAAACAGGAAGAUUCAAUUAUUUCAUGGAGAGAUCCAGAAUAUGCUACUGAACUGGCACUUAGCUUUCAAGAACCUGGUGGUUGCUCUUACAUAUGGGACAAUAUUUGCAGUGUGCAAAGGAAUAUGCAUUUUAAUACUUUAAGUAGUGAGGCAUUUCACAGUGUAAACAGUGAGUUAAGGGAGUUGCCUGCAGUUGAAUUGUCAACGCUUCCUUUGAUUGUUAAGAUGGUGGGUGAGAGUGGCAUUGCUGAUCAGUUGCGGCUUACAGAACUAAUCCUAAGUGAUCAAGACUUUUUUAGGAAGCUCAUGGAACUAUUCAGAGUUUGUGAAGAUUUGGAAAAUAUGGAUGGCCUUCACAUGAUUUUCAAAAUAAUCAAAGGGAUCAUUUUGCUUAAUAGUACACAAAUUUUUGAGCGAAUAUUGAGCGACGAAUUUAUUGUGGACAUUAUUGGUGCCCUCGAGUAUGAUCCAGAGGUUCCUCAUGUUCAACAUCAUCGUAAAUUCUUAAUGGAGCAUGUUAUUUUUAAGGAGGCCAUACCUAUAAAAAAUACAAUUGUGUUAUCAAAGAUACAUCAGACAUAUAGAGUUGGUUUUUUGAAGGAUGUUGUUUUGGCUAGAAUUUUGGAUGAGGCCACUAUUGCAAGUCUUAAUUCCAUAAUACAUGCAAACAAUGCCAUUGUUGUUUCUUUAUUGAAGGAUGACAGUACAUUUAUUCAGGAGUUAUUUGCUAGGUUAAAAUUGCCCACCACCUCUCCUGAGUAUAAGAAAAAUAUGGUCCAUUUCUUGCAUGAGUUUUGUAGUUUAAGCAAGAGCUUACAGAUGGUACAGCAGCUUCGGCUUUUUCGUAAUUUUGAUCGAUCAUCUCUAAAACGGAUACUGCUUUCUUGGGAGUCUUCACUGGUGGAGCUGACGGUGGAGCCUUGCAUUUACUUGCAAUUUUUCACACUAAAAUUUUGAUUCUUAAGCUAUUUCAUACUUGUUUGCAGAAGAUUUGAUAUCUUUUGUUUGGGAUCUGAUGAAUGAGGGCAUCUUUGACAUCAUCACUGACAUCUUGCAAAGUCAAGACAAGAAACUUGUGCUUACUGGAACAGAUAUCCUCACACUCUUCUUGAAUCAGGAUCCUAAUCUACUGCGGUCUUAUGUUGUUGGGCAGGAAGGAAUUACCCUUCUUGGACUAUUGGUUAAAGGAAUGAUAACAGAUUUUGGAGAUGAUAUGCAUUGCCAGUUUCUUGAGAUUCUCCGCAAUCUGUUAGACUCAUGCUCAUUGUCUGGAGCACAGUUUCACUUGACAGAGGGAUGCUAUUAUUGACAUUUUCUAUGAGAAGCAUUUGGGUCAACUGAUUGAAGUGAUAAUAGCAUCAUGUCCUUCAGAAAAAGUUGUUCAUGCAAGCAGCAAAACAAUAGAUCCUGGUCCAAGAAUUAAGUAUGUCAGUGGGGGGACAAAGCCAGAGAUACUAUCAAACAUAUGUGAAUUACUAUGCUUUUGCGUCCUCCACCACCCAUACAGGAUAAAGUGCAACUUUCUUCUUAAUAAAGUGAUUGAUAAAAUUUUGUUACUGACACUGAGAAGAGAAAAAUACCUAGUUGUUGGUGCUGUUCGGUUUGUUCGUACUAUUCUCUCACGUCAUGAUGAGCAUCUGAUAAAUCAUUUUGUUAGAAACGACCUUCUCAAGCCAAUAGUAGAUGCUUUCAUAGCUAAUGGCUAUCGCUAUAAUCUGCUCAAUUCUGCUGUUCUUGAACUUUUUGAGUAUAUUCGGAAGGAGAAUCUUAAACUGUUGCUGAAGUAUAUUGUUGAUUCUUUCUGGGACCAGCUAGUGAAAUUCGAGUAUUUGGUUUCCAUUCAUUCACUGAAAGUAAAAUAUGAGCAGUUUUUGGAUAAUGAUGGGACAAAAGGUACUGUUAUUAUCAAUGACCGAAGAAGACUGGAUGAGCGCGCUCCAGAUAAAGAAGAGGAUGACUACUUUAAUGACAGUGAUGAGGAGGAUACAACCUCUACAUCAAUUUCACAUAAUCAUAAAGGGCAGCAACAACAACCAGUGUUAUCCAAUGGAGUUGCUGCAAGCAACUCACAAUUAAGUCCAAGGUCUGGUGGGCUGGUUGACUAUGAUGAUGAUGAAGAUGAUGAAGAUUACAGGCCACCGCCAAGGAAGAAGCCUGAGGUUUCAGAGGAGGAUGAAGGGACAGUGGAGUCUUUUAGGCUGAAAAGAAAAUUGCCUUCAAAAGAUAAAGAGGAGACUGAACUUGUACGGAAGCAAAAAUUGUCUAAAAAUUCAAAAUCAAAGGACAGUGUUUUUGCUUCCUUGUGUUCAACGUUGAGCCAUGCUGUGCUACCUGGCAAGAAACCUGCAAGUAAUAUUCAUACUGGUCCUUGGACAACAGAUGGGAACGUGAGCUCAAGUGAAGGUAUUCAAGAAAAGGAGCCAGAUGUUUCUAGAAACUGCUGUGAGAGUAGCAAUGAGACAGCUGAAGUAAACCAUGUAGAGAAAGAAGCUGCUGCUUAUAGAAAUUUUUCUGAUGGCUUGUAUGGCACUUCAGAUAAUGGACAGUUGGGUGGCGAGGAACAUACAUUGGUUUCACCAAAAUCCUCACCAGAGAUGACCGUAAGUGGAUCUUGAGAUUUUAAAACUAUAUAUACAGAGAGGCAAAUUGUUUGUGCUAGUUCACCUGUGUAUUUGCCGGUGGCAAAAUGGUUGCUGUGCCUAUGUGAGACAAGGAUCUCUUUCUACUAAGGGGUAACAUCUGAUUAUGAUUCUGUGGACGUGUGGAGAUACUGUACAGUGACACUGAGAGGCGGCAAGAUACUACGCAACAUCUUGGAUCUGCUCCUAUGCUUUAGUAGGUUUUUCGGGCUUUUGAGCUAGUAUCGUGUAAUAUUUGCUAUUUGCUAGCAAUAAUUCUUGUUUUUCUUCCUUCUCAACAUUACAGCUCAUUUUUCUUUUCUGAUGAGGACUCUCGGUUGAGAAGGUUGAUCUUGUUAUCAUUUUUUUCUUAAAAAGUUAUAUUAACUUCUUGAGAGUGGGCGCCAAUAUUCGCCCAACACAGGUUUUACUUUUUCCCCCCCCCAAUUUUGUGGUGGAUGUGAUAUAGGGCCAAUUUUUCACAAAUGUAGUAAAACAUCAUCCGUUGUAAAUCUGUAUUGAACUGUUACGCAUGCAUUGAACUUCCCAUGCAGUUCUGUUAUCGUAACUAAAUUAUGUUGGUUAAUUUCGCCU
Abrus precatorius (Indian licorice) is the source of this 3726-nucleotide RNA transcript. It is a transcript of the gene named serine/threonine-protein phosphatase 4 regulatory subunit 3-like, with no coding region annotated. The record is from RefSeq and is a predicted model, not a curated record. The transcript has 25 exons. Lineage: Eukaryota; Viridiplantae; Streptophyta; Magnoliopsida; Fabales; Fabaceae.